UUAUGGCCACAUCAAGUUGAAAAUGCCAGUUCUUGUAUGAUCACUAAAGUUAAGCAAUAUCAAGCCUGGUCACUACCUAGAUGGGUGACCACUUGGGAAUAUCAAAUGCUGUAA
This is a non-coding RNA of Acanthosepion pharaonis, 114 nucleotides long. The record is from the annotation of a GenBank genome assembly. NCBI's taxonomy places the organism in Eukaryota, Metazoa, Mollusca, Cephalopoda, Sepiida, Sepiidae.